UACAGAGGUCUCAAGCGUUGUUCGGAUUCAUUGGGCGUAAAGGGUGCGUAGGUGGCGCCGUAAGUCGGGUGUGAAAUUUCGGAGCUUAACUCCGAAACUGCAUUCGAUACUGCGGUGCUUGAGGACUGGAGAGGAGACUGGAAUUCAUGGUGUAGCAGUGAAAUGCGUAGAUAUCAGGAGGAACACCGGCGGUGUAGACGGCUUUCUGGACCGUAGCUGACGCUGAGACACGAAAGCGUGGGUAGCAAACAGG
RNAcentral lists this ribosomal RNA (253 nucleotides) under uncultured bacterium. RNAcentral describes it as "partial 16S ribosomal RNA". It matches the Rfam family "Bacterial small subunit ribosomal RNA", at positions 524 to 776 of the family's 1533-position model. The record is from RNAcentral.